Molecule: ribosomal RNA, 1961 nt
Filed under: Pseudomonas syringae pv. actinidiae
Lineage: Bacteria; Pseudomonadati; Pseudomonadota; Gammaproteobacteria; Pseudomonadales; Pseudomonadaceae
Description: partial 23S ribosomal RNA
Rfam family: Bacterial large subunit ribosomal RNA
Source: RNAcentral
GGUCAAGUGAAGAAGCGCAUACGGUGGAUGCCUUGGCAGUCAGAGGCGAUGAAAGACGUGGUAGCCUGCGAAAAGCUUCGGGGAGUCGGCAAACAGACUGUGAUCCGGAGAUGUCUGAAUGGGGGAACCCAGCCAUCACAAGAUGGUUAUCUUACACUGAAUACAUAGGUGUAAGAGGCGAACCAGGGGAACUGAAACAUCUAAGUACCCUGAGGAAAAGAAAUCAACCGAGAUUCCCUUAGUAGUGGCGAGCGAACGGGGACCAGCCCUUAAGUUGUAUUGAGAUUAGCGGAACGCUCUGGAAAGUGCGGCCAUAGUGGGUGAUAGCCCUGUACGCGAAAAUCCCUUUGCAAUGAAAUCGAGUAGGACGGGGCACGAGAAACCUUGUCUGAAUAUGGGGGGACCAUCCUCCAAGGCUAAAUACUACUGACUGACCGAUAGUGAACCAGUACCGUGAGGGAAAGGCGAAAAGAACCGCGGAGAGCGGAGUGAAAUAGAUCCUGAAACCGUAUGCGUACAAGCAGUGGGAGCCCACUUUGUUGGGUGACUGCGUACCUUUUGUAUAAUGGGUCAGCGACUUAUUUUCAGUGGCGAGCUUAACCGAAUAGGGGAGGCGUAGCGAAAGCGAGUCUUAAUAGGGCGUCUAGUCGCUGGGAAUAGACCCGAAACCGGGCGAUCUAUCCAUGGGCAGGUUGAAGGUUGGGUAACACUAACUGGAGGACCGAACCGACUACCGUUGAAAAGUUAGCGGAUGACCUGUGGAUCGGAGUGAAAGGCUAAUCAAGCUCGGAGAUAGCUGGUUCUCCUCGAAAGCUAUUUAGGUAGCGCCUCAUGUAUCACUGUAGGGGGUAGAGCACUGUUUCGGCUAGGGGGUCAUCCCGACUUACCAAACCGAUGCAAACUCCGAAUACCUACAAGUGCCGAGCAUGGGAGACACACGGCGGGUGCUAACGUCCGUCGUGAAAAGGGAAACAACCCAGACCGUCAGCUAAGGUCCCAAAGUCAUGGUUAAGUGGGAAACGAUGUGGGAAGGCUUAGACAGCUAGGAGGUUGGCUUAGAAGCAGCCACCCUUUAAAGAAAGCGUAAUAGCUCACUAGUCGAGUCGGCCUGCGCGGAAGAUGUAACGGGGCUCAAACCAUGCACCGAAGCUACGGGUAUCACCUUUGGUGAUGCGGUAGAGGAGCGUUCUGUAAGCCUGUGAAGGUGAGUUGAGAAGCUUGCUGGAGGUAUCAGAAGUGCGAAUGCUGACAUGAGUAACGACAAUGGGUGUGAAAAACACCCACGCCGAAAGACCAAGGUUUCCUGCGCAACGUUAAUCGACGCAGGGUUAGUCGGUCCCUAAGGCGAGGCUGAAAAGCGUAGUCGAUGGAAAACAGGUUAAUAUUCCUGUACUUCUGGUUAUUGCGAUGGAGGGACGGAGAAGGCUAGGCCAGCCUGGCGUUGGUAGUCCAGGUUUAAGGUGGUAGGCUGAGAUCUUAGGUAAAUCCGGGAUCUUAAGGCCGAGAGCUGAUGACGAGUGUUCUUUUAGAACAUGAAGUGGUUGAUGCCAUGCUUCCAAGAAAAGCUUCUAAGCUUCAGGUAACCAGGAACCGUACCCCAAACCGACACAGGUGGUUGGGUAGAGAAUACCAAGGCGCUUGAGAGAACUCGGGUGAAGGAACUAGGCAAAAUGGCACCGUAACUUCGGGAGAAGGUGCGCCGGUGAGGGUGAAGCAUUUACUGCGUAAGCCCACGCCGGUCGAAGAUACCAGGCCGCUGCGACUGUUUAUUAAAAACACAGCACUCUGCAAACACGAAAGUGGACGUAUAGGGUGUGACGCCUGCCCGGUGCCGGAAGGUUAAUUGAUGGGGUUAGCGCAAGCAAAGCUCUUGAUCGAAGCCCCGGUAAACGGCUGCCGAAACUAUAACGGUCCUAAGUUAGCGAAAUUCCUUGUCGGGUAAGUUCCGCCCUGCGCGAAAG